Molecule: transfer RNA, 78 nt
Filed under: Candidatus Campbellbacteria bacterium CG22_combo_CG10-13_8_21_14_all_43_18
Lineage: Bacteria; Candidatus Campbelliibacteriota
Description: tRNA-Glu
Rfam family: tRNA
About the family: Transfer RNA (tRNA) molecules are approximately 80 nucleotides in length. Their secondary structure includes four short double-helical elements and three loops (D, anti-codon, and T loops).
Source: RNAcentral
GGCCCUAUCGUCUAGCCUGGUCUAGGACGCCAGGUUCUCAUCCUGGAAACCCGGGUUCAAAUCCCGGUAGGGUCACCA